This is a long non-coding RNA of Manihot esculenta (cassava), 1649 nucleotides long. RefSeq lists it as uncharacterized. NCBI's taxonomy places the organism in Eukaryota, Viridiplantae, Streptophyta, Magnoliopsida, Malpighiales, Euphorbiaceae. The record is from RefSeq and is a predicted model, not a curated record. The transcript has 2 exons.
UCUCUUUCACUCUCUCUCUUCUAUAGGACUAAACCCUUUUCUUUCUCCCCCUUCUUUCCCUCAUUCAACACUCAUAUUCAUUCUAUGCUAAAAUUGGAACUGACCAUUCUAAAGAUCGGUUAAGCCAAGUAACAUCAAUAGGUGAAAGUAACGAGGAAUAGCCAUCAAGUCCUAUAAAUCUGCAGAACUGCAAUAACCCACUGGAAUUUCAAAAUCAAAACCUACCAUAGAGAAAGCAGCCAUUUCUAAUAUUACCUAACACCACUCUACAAAUCUGCUGCAAUUGAUUUUAACCAACCCCAUAUUACAAUUUCCCAAAUCAAACUUGGCCCAUAGAUUUUGGUAAUGUAAGUUCUCUGUUAUGUUACUCUUCACUUAACAUCUCUGACCAUUCUAGCAGUAAAAUCCACAAAACUAUGAAUGAGAAUAGGUCCAUUGGAUGCAAAUGGCAUAAUGAAGGAUCACUUCCUCAAGGUUCAAUAUGCUUUAAGAUGAAUUUUUGGUGCUGCCACGACAAACUAUGACUGCAACUAUAUAACCAUGCCUUAUAUCACUUCCAAUUCACUUGCCUCCCUUCUCGAAUUUGCUAUGAAAACUCUCUCCUCCAUCAUUGGACAAGCCUCCCAUGCCUAGACCAUCAAGAUCUUUCAAUCUCCAAUGCUUCUUUUUUUUAGCAACCACCUCAUCUACAUGUAUUCCAAACUCGGCCCACCUCACCUCCAACUCACCACAACUUGCUCUAUCGUCAAUUGGACUGCCCUCAUCUCGUCCGGACUGCCCUCAUGCGAUUGCAGUUAAGUUUGGGCAAAUUUAUGGUGUCUUUGUUGGGUGCAGUGUGUUAAACAGGGCUUACACAUCAAGCACAUGAACUAUUUGAUGAGCUGCAGGAGAGAAACGUCUUUAAGGGUAGAUUUGUUAUUUAGAACAAUUCUCUCGACAUUAACUAUAUUAAGUUGUAUUGACUAAUGGAAAAUGGUCAAAAUAUGACGAAAGUUCUUAUUAAUUGACGGAAGUAGAGUGCAGGUUAUUAAUUGACGGAAGUAGAGUGCAGGGACUUUUUAAUAUAAUUGUAAAAGUACAAGAAUAUUUUGAUUAAUUAGGUCAUAAUUUAGGGGCACGAGGGUAAUUCGCCCUUAAAAAAAAGGAAAAGGAAAAGGAAAAGAAAAAAAAAACAGAAACAAAGAGAAGAAGAAAAUGCUUCGGAAGAACCCAUUUUCUUUCGCUUUUCUUCUUUCCUUUGCCGAAGGAAAGAGGAGAAAACUUCUCCACCAAUUUCCACCUUUCCUUACACCAAAUUUCUCUUUUUCUCCUCUCAAAUAAAACUUCACUUCACCCAACCCCUUUUCCUAGGUAAACAUUCAAGAAAGCAGUAGAAAUUGAAGAAAAAUUUCAAGAUUAAAGAGGGAAUAGUGAAGUGUACAAAUUUUAAAGGUUAUAUUUCCAAGGAGUAAUAGAUCAAGAUCUGCAUUGACCCAACCAGAGUUACAAUAUUAUUAGUCAUCUUUGGAUAUAUUUUAUAAAUUUUGUUUAAGGUUGAUUUUGAAAAUAUGAUAUGUAUAUAAAGUUUUAGAAAUGAAGUUGUAUAUGAUUGUAAAUUAGAUGUAUUUGGAGAUUUUAAUUUUGAUGUAAAUACAUGGUUGUUAGUAUAA